UACGGAAGGCAGCAGUGGGGAAUAUUGCACAAUGGGCGAAAGCCUGAUGCAGCUAUGCCGCGUGUAUGAAGAAGGCCUUAGGGUUGUAAAGUACUUUCAUCGGGGAGGAAAAAGCAAAACUAAUAAUUUUAUUUCUUGACGUUACCCGAAAAAGAAGCACCGGCUAACUCCGUGCCAGCAGCCGCGGUAAUACGGAGGGUGCUAGCGUUAAUCAGAAUUACUGGGCGUAAAGAGCACGUAGGUGGUUUUUUUAAGUCAGAUGUGAAAUCCCUGGGCUUAACCUAGGAACUGCAUUUUGAAACUGAAAUACUAGAGUAUCGUAGAGGGAGGUAGAAUUCUAGGUGUAGCGGUGAAAUGCGUAGAUAUCUGGAGGAAUACCUGUGGCGAAAGCGGGCCUCCUAAACGAAUACUGACACUGAGGUGCGAAAGCGUGGGGAGCAAACAGGGAUUAGAUACC
Molecule: ribosomal RNA, 457 nt
Filed under: uncultured bacterium
Lineage: Bacteria
Description: bacterial SSU rRNA
Rfam family: Bacterial small subunit ribosomal RNA
Source: RNAcentral